GUACGGGAGGCAGCAGUGGGGAAUUUUGCGCAAUGGGGGAAACCCUGACGCAGCAACGCCGCGUGAGUGAUGCAGGCCUUCGGGUCGUAAAGCUCUGUCAGUGGGAAAGAAAUGUACGAGGGCCAAUACCCCUUGUACUUGACGGUACCCACAAAGGAAGCACCGGCUAACUCCGUGCCAGCAGCCGCGGUAAUACGGAGGGUGCGAGCGUUGUUCGGAAUUAUUGGGCGUAAAGCGCGUGUAGGCGACUCCUUAAGUCUGAUGUGAAAGCCCCGGGCUCAACCUGGGAAGUGCAUUGGAAACUGGGGAACUUGAAUACGGGAGAGGGUAGUGGAAUUCCUGGUGUAGGAGUGAAAUCCGUAGAUAUCAGGAGGAACACCGGUGGCGAAGGCGGCUACCUGGACCGAUAUUGACGCUGAGACGCGAAAGCGUGGGGAGCAAACAGGAUUAGAUACCCCAGUAGUC
This 465-nucleotide ribosomal RNA is filed under the name uncultured bacterium. RNAcentral describes it as "bacterial SSU rRNA". It matches the Rfam family "Bacterial small subunit ribosomal RNA", at positions 339 to 795 of the family's 1533-position model. The record is from RNAcentral.